GACGAACGCUGGCGGCGCGCUUAACACAUGCAAGUCGAGCGAGAACCGGACCUUCGGGUCCGGGAAGGCGGCGAACGGGUGAGUAACACGUGGGUAAUCUGCCCUCGGCACCGGAAUAGCCCGGGGAACCCGGAUUAAUGCCGGAUGGCCCAACAGCUCUUCGGGGCGGUUGGGAAAGGUAGCUUAGGCCUCCGGCCGAGGAGGAGCCCGCGGCGGAUUAGCUUGUUGGUGAGGUAACAGCUCACCAAGGCUGCGAUGGGUAGCUGGUCUGAGAGGACGAUCAGCCACACUGGGACUGAGACACGGCCCAGACUCCUACGGGAGGCAGCAGUGGGGAAUCUUGCGCAAUGCGCGAAAGCGUGACGCAGCAACGCCGCGU
This 379-nucleotide ribosomal RNA is filed under the name uncultured bacterium. Its description in RNAcentral is "bacterial SSU rRNA". It matches the Rfam family "Bacterial small subunit ribosomal RNA", at positions 28 to 402 of the family's 1533-position model. The record is from RNAcentral.